Molecule: ribosomal RNA, 293 nt
Filed under: uncultured bacterium
Lineage: Bacteria
Description: partial 16S ribosomal RNA
Rfam family: Bacterial small subunit ribosomal RNA
Source: RNAcentral
GGAUUAGAUACCCUGGUAGUCCACGCCGUAAACGAUGAGAACUAGGUGUUUGGUGACGUAGUCACUGAGUACCGCAGCUAACGCGUUAAGUUCUCCGCCUGGGGAGUACGGCCGCAAGGUUGAAACUCAAAGGAAUUGACGGGGGCCCGCACAAGCGGUGGAGCAUGUGGUUUAAUUCGAUGCAACGCGAAAAACCUUACCUACUCUUGACAUCCCUGGAAUCCCAACGCAGGUUGGGAGUGCCUUCGGGAACCAGGUGACAGGUGCUGCAUGGCUGUCGUCAGCUCGUGCCG